Molecule: ribosomal RNA, 499 nt
Filed under: Blastocystis sp.
Lineage: Eukaryota; Bigyra; Opalinata; Blastocystidae
Description: SSU rRNA
Rfam family: Eukaryotic small subunit ribosomal RNA
Source: RNAcentral
GUGUAAGUAUAAAUAAUUUUACUUUGAAACUGCGAAUGGCUCAUUAUAUCAGUUAUAGUUUAUUAGAAAUACUUUACUACUUGGAUAACCGUAGUAAUUCUAGGGCUAAUACAUGAAUAAAUCCUCAACUUCGGAAGAGGUGUGUUUAUUAGUAUGAAAACCAUAUAUCUUCGGAUAUAAUAGUGAGUAAUAAUAACCUUUCAUAUCGUAUGUCGUAAGAUAACGAUAGUUCUUUCAAGUUUCUGCCCUAUCAGCUUUCGAUGGUAGUAUAUGGGACUACCAUGGCAGUAACGGGUAACGAAGAAUUUGGGUUCGAUUUCGGAGAGGGAGCCUGAGAGAUGGCUACCACAUCCAAGGAAGGCAGCAGGCGCGUAAAUUACCCAAUCCUGACAUAGGGAGGUAGUGACAAUAAAUCACAAUGCGGAACUAUUUAGUUUUGCAAUUGGAUUGAGAACAAUGUACAAAUGUUAUCGAUAAACAAUUGGAGGGCAAGUCUGGC